UCUGUAAUAGGGAGGUGAAUCUAAAGGAUCUACUGCCAGAUAGAUCCCUUUGACAGCUAAUCCUCUUAAUAGUACGAUAGUAGCAUCUAAAUGUGCAAAUGUGGUAGCAGGAGUAGGGUCGGUUGAAUCGUCUGUAGGUACAUAAACUACUUGAAUAGAAAUUAUGGACCCUUCUUCGGUAGAAGUAAUUCUUUCUUGUAACGUACCCAUUUUGGUACUCAGGCUAGGUUGAUAACCGUCAGCGGAAGGCAUUCUACCCAAUAAGGCCGAUACUUCGGAUCCUGCUUGGACGAAAGGAAGAUAUUGUAGAUAAAUAGAAGUACGACUUGUCCAUAAUUAUAGGGAUAUCACUGAAAUAAGAC
RNAcentral lists this long non-coding RNA (362 nucleotides) under Olea europaea subsp. europaea. Lineage: Eukaryota; Viridiplantae; Streptophyta; Magnoliopsida; Lamiales; Oleaceae. The record is from RNAcentral.